CCUACGGGAGGCAGCAGUGGGGAAUUUUGCGCAAUGCUCGUAAGAGUGACGCAGCGACGCCGCGUGAAUGACGAAGGCCUUCGGGUCGUAAAGUUCUUUCGACAGGGAAGAACAUGCCUAUAAGUAACUGUGUAUGUAUUGACGGUACCUGUAUAAGCAGCCCCGGCUAACUCCGUGCCAGCAGCCGCGGUAAUACGGAGGUGGCGAGCGUUGUUCGGAGUGACUGGGCGUAAAGAGCACGUAGGCGGUGUUGUAAGUCAUUAGUCAAAGACUAGAGCUCAACUUUAGUAAGGCUAGUGAUACUAUAAUACGAGAGUAUCAGAGAGGAGUGCAGAAUUCCUGGUGUAGCGGUGAAAUGCGUAGAUAUCAGGAGGAAUACCGUUAGCGAAGGCGGCAAUCUGGCUGGAAACUGACGCUGAGGUGCGAAAGCGUGGGUAGCAAACAGGAUUAGAUACCCCUGUAGUC
RNAcentral lists this ribosomal RNA (465 nucleotides) under uncultured bacterium. RNAcentral's name for it is "partial 16S ribosomal RNA". It matches the Rfam family "Bacterial small subunit ribosomal RNA", at positions 338 to 795 of the family's 1533-position model. The record is from RNAcentral.